GACGAACGCUGGCGGCGUGCUUAACACAUGCAAGUCGAACGGAAAGGCCCCCACCAUUUUUGGUGGGGGUGCUCGAGUGGCGAACGGGUGAGUAACACGUGGGUGAUCUGCCCUGUACUUCGGGAUAAGCUUGGGAAACUGGGUCUAAUACCGGAUAGGACCAUGGUUUAGUGUCUCAUGGUGGAAAAAUUAUUGUUUUGGUGCAGGAUGAGCUCGCGGCCUAUCAGCUUGUUGGUGGGGUAAUGGCCUACCAAGGCGUCGACGGGUAGCCGGCCUGAGAGGGUGGACGGCCACAUUGGGACUGAGAUACGGCCCAGACUCCUACGGGAGGCAGCAGUGGGGAAUAUUGCACAAUGGGCGCAAGCCUGAUGCAGCGACGCCGCGUGGGGGAUGACGGCCUUCGGGUUGUAAACUCCUUUCGUUAGGGACGAAGCCACACCUUUUUUGG
This 448-nucleotide ribosomal RNA is filed under the name Corynebacterium matruchotii. RNAcentral describes it as "bacterial SSU rRNA". It matches the Rfam family "Bacterial small subunit ribosomal RNA", at positions 28 to 467 of the family's 1533-position model. The record is from RNAcentral. Lineage: Bacteria; Bacillati; Actinomycetota; Actinomycetes; Mycobacteriales; Corynebacteriaceae.